UACAGAGGGUGCUAGCGUUGUUCGGAAUUACUGGGCGUAAAGGGCGCGUAGGCGGCCUAUCAAGUCAGACGUGAAAGCCCCGGGCUUAACCUGGGAUGUGCGUUUGAUACUGGUAGGCUAGAGGUCUGGAGAGGAGAGUGGAAUUCCUAGUGUAGAGGUGAAAUUCGUAGAUAUUAGGAGGAACAUCAGUGGCGAAGGCGACUCUCUGGCCAGAUACUGACGCUGAGGCGCGAAAGCGUGGGGAGCAAACAGG
This 253-nucleotide ribosomal RNA is filed under the name uncultured bacterium. RNAcentral describes it as "partial 16S ribosomal RNA". It matches the Rfam family "Bacterial small subunit ribosomal RNA", at positions 524 to 776 of the family's 1533-position model. The record is from RNAcentral.